RNAcentral lists this ribosomal RNA (358 nucleotides) under Pilodius areolatus. RNAcentral describes it as "partial 12S ribosomal RNA". The record is from RNAcentral. Lineage: Eukaryota; Metazoa; Arthropoda; Malacostraca; Decapoda; Xanthidae.
UACUAUACUGAUAAAUAUACAGUCCCUCAAAUUAUUAAUAGAUAUAGUCUUUAAACUUGAAGAAUUUGGCGGUGGCUUAGUCUUGUUAGAGGAACCUGUUUUUGGAUCGAUACACCACGUAUAAUUUUACUUGUUUUAUCAGUUUGUAUACCGUCAUUAUCAGAUAAUUUUAGAAAGAAGUAAUUAUUGAAAUUUCAGUUAUGAGAUUAAAUUAGAUCAAGGUGCAGCUUAUAAAUGAGUUAAAAUGGGUUACAAUAAGGCUUACUUAGACGGAGUAGUAAUAGGAAGAUGUAUUAUAAAGGUGGAUUUAAUUGUAAUUGAAAUUUAAUAAGUUUAAAAAAUAUAAGCUCUAAGCCAU